UACGUAGGGGGCAAGCGUUGUCCGGAUUCAUUGGGCGUAAAGAGCGUGUAGGCGGCCAGGUAGGUCGGUUGUGAAAACUGGAGGCUCAACCUUCAGAGGUCGACCGAAACCAUCUGGCUAGAGUCCGGGAGAGGAGAGUGGAAUUCCUGGUGUAGCGGUGAAAUGCGCAGAUAUCAGGAAGAACACCCGUGGCGAAAGCGGAUCUCUGGAACGGUACUGACGCUGAGACGCGAAAGCGUGGGGAGCGAACAGG
This 253-nucleotide ribosomal RNA is filed under the name uncultured bacterium. RNAcentral's name for it is "partial 16S ribosomal RNA". It matches the Rfam family "Bacterial small subunit ribosomal RNA", at positions 524 to 776 of the family's 1533-position model. The record is from RNAcentral.